RNAcentral lists this ribosomal RNA (2231 nucleotides) under Vibrio parahaemolyticus. Its description in RNAcentral is "bacterial LSU rRNA". It matches the Rfam family "Bacterial large subunit ribosomal RNA", at positions 582 to 2800 of the family's 2925-position model. Lineage: Bacteria; Pseudomonadati; Pseudomonadota; Gammaproteobacteria; Vibrionales; Vibrionaceae. The record is from RNAcentral.
GGCUUUGUCCUGUGACUGCGUACCUUUUGUAUAAUGGGUCAGCGACUUAUAUUCAGUGGCAAGGUUAACCAUCUAGGGGAGCCGUAGGGAAACCGAGUCUUAACUGGGCGUUCAGUCUCUGGAUAUAGACCCGAAACCAGGUGAUCUAGCCAUGGGCAGGUUGAAGGUUGAGUAACAUCAACUGGAGGACCGAACCGACUAAUGUUGAAAAAUUAGCGGAUGACUUGUGGCUAGGGGUGAAAGGCCAAUCAAACCUGGAGAUAGCUGGUUCUCCCCGAAAGCUAUUUAGGUAGCGCCUCGGACGAAUACUACUGGGGGUAGAGCACUGUUAAGGCUAGGGGGUCAUCCCGACUUACCAACCCUUUGCAAACUCCGAAUACCAGUAAGUACUAUCCGGGAGACACACGGCGGGUGCUAACGUCCGUCGUGGAGAGGGAAACAACCCAGACCGCCAGCUAAGGUCCCAAAUUACUACUAAGUGGGAAACGAUGUGGGAAGGCUCAGACAGCCAGGAUGUUGGCUUAGAAGCAGCCAUCAUUUAAAGAAAGCGUAAUAGCUCACUGGUCGAGUCGGCCUGCGCGGAAGAUGUAACGGGGCUAAGUAGUAAACCGAAGCUGCGGCAAUAUACUUUUGUAUAUUGGGUAGGGGAGCGUUCUGUAAGCGGUUGAAGGUGUGUGGUAACGCAUGCUGGACGUAUCAGAAGUGCGAAUGCUGACAUGAGUAACGAUAAAGGGGGUGAAAAACCUCCUCGCCGGAAGACCAAGGGUUCCUGUCCAACGUUAAUCGGGGCAGGGUAAGUCGACCCCUAAGGCGAGGCCGAAAGGCGUAGUCGAUGGGAAACGGGUUAAUAUUCCCGUACUUCUUACAAUUGCGAUGGGGGGACGGAGAAGGCUAGGUGGGCCUGGCGACGGUUGUCCAGGUUCAAGUGCGUAGGCUUAAGAGUUAGGUAAAUCCGGCUCUUUUUAAGGCUGAGACACGACGUCGAGCACCUACGGGUGUGAAGUCAUUGAUGCCAUGCUUCCAGGAAAAGCCUCUAAGCUUCAGAUUGUAAGGAAUCGUACCCCAAACCGACACAGGUGGUCGGGUAGAGAAUACCAAGGCGCUUGAGAGAACUCGGGUGAAGGAACUAGGCAAAAUGGUACCGUAACUUCGGGAGAAGGUACGCUCUCGACGGUGAAGUCCCUUGCGGAUGGAGCUAUUGAGAGUCGCAGAUACCAGGUGGCUGCAACUGUUUAUUAAAAACACAGCACUGUGCAAAAUCGUAAGAUGACGUAUACGGUGUGACGCCUGCCCGGUGCCGGAAGGUUAAUUGAUGGGGUUAGACUUCGGUCGAAGCUCUUGAUCGAAGCCCCGGUAAACGGCGGCCGUAACUAUAACGGUCCUAAGGUAGCGAAAUUCCUUGUCGGGUAAGUUCCGACCUGCACGAAUGGCGUAAUGAUGGCCACGCUGUCUCCACCCGAGACUCAGUGAAAUUGAAAUCGCUGUGAAGAUGCAGUGUACCCGCGGCUAGACGGAAAGACCCCGUGAACCUUUACUACAGCUUGGCACUGAACAUUGACCCUACAUGUGUAGGAUAGGUGGGAGGCUUUGAAGCACGUACGCCAGUAUGUGUGGAGCCGUCCUUGAAAUACCACCCUUGUAGUGUUGAUGUUCUAACGUCGACCCCUUAUCGGGGUUGCGGACAGUGCCUGGUGGGUAGUUUGACUGGGGCGGUCUCCUCCCAAAGAGUAACGGAGGAGCACGAAGGUGGGCUAAUCACGGUUGGACAUCGUGAGGUUAGUGCAAUGGCAUAAGCCCGCUUGACUGCGAGAAUGACAAUUCGAGCAGGUGCGAAAGCAGGUCAUAGUGAUCCGGUGGUUCUGAAUGGAAGGGCCAUCGCUCAACGGAUAAAAGGUACUCCGGGGAUAACAGGCUGAUACCGCCCAAGAGUUCAUAUCGACGGCGGUGUUUGGCACCUCGAUGUCGGCUCAUCACAUCCUGGGGCUGAAGUCGGUCCCAAGGGUAUGGCUGUUCGCCAUUUAAAGUGGUACGCGAGCUGGGUUUAGAACGUCGUGAGACAGUUCGGUCCCUAUCUGCCGUGGGCGUUGGAAGAUUGAAGGGGGCUGCUCCUAGUACGAGAGGACCGGAGUGGACGAACCUCUGGUGUUCGGGUUGUGUCGCCAGACGCAUUGCCCGGUAGCUAAGUUCGGAAUCGAUAACCGCUGAAAGCAUCUAAGCGGGAAGCGAGCCCU